UUAUUGCUAUCCGGAUUCGACUAAGCCAUGCAAGUCUUGAUGUUCAUCUUUGGACCUUAGGGCAGAAAGCUCAGUAACAUGUAGUUAAUAUGCCCUCAAGUCAGGGAUAAUCUCGGGAACCUGAGGCUAAUACCUGAUAGAUAAGAAGUACUGGAAUGUUUUCUUUUCUAAAGCUUUGCGCUUGAGGAUUGGACUGCACCGGAUUAGGUUGUUGUUAGGGUAACGUCCUGGCAAGCCGAUAAUCCGUACGAGCCUUGAGAGAGGAAGCUCGGAGUUGGAUUCUGAGACAAGAAUCCAGACCCUACGGGGUGCAGCAGGCGCGAAACUUUCCCAAUGCACGCAAGUGUGAGGAAGGGAUCUGGAGUGCAUUCUCUUAUAUAGGGGAUGCUUUUGUGGAGGUGUAAACAGCUCCAAGAAUAAGUGGUGGGUAAGACGGGUGCCAGCCCGCCGCGGUAAUACCCGCGCCACGAGUGAUAACCACGAUUAUUGGGCUUAAAGCGUUCGUAGCCGGCCCAAAAAGUCUUUAGUGAAAUCCCGUAGCUAACUACGGGGCUUGCUAGGGAAACUAUUGGACUUGGAACCGGGAGAGGUCUGGGGUACUCAAGGGGUAGGGGUAAAAUCCCUGUAAUCCUUUGGGGACCACCUGUGGCGAAGGCGCCAGACCAGAACGGAUUCGACGGUGAGGGACGAAAGCCAGGGGAGCAAAGGGGAUUAGAUACCCCCCGUAGUCCUGGCUGUAAACGAUGCCCACUAGACAUUGGGCAAUCUUACGUGGGGUUGUCAGUGCC
RNAcentral lists this ribosomal RNA (788 nucleotides) under uncultured marine archaeon. RNAcentral describes it as "bacterial SSU rRNA". It matches the Rfam family "Archaeal small subunit ribosomal RNA", at positions 24 to 802 of the family's 1478-position model. The record is from RNAcentral.